AGUGAACGCUGGCGGUAGGCCUAACACAUGCAAGUCGAACGGCAGCACAGUAAGAGCUUGCUCUUACGGGUGGCGAGUGGCGGACGGGUGAGGAAUACAUCGGAAUCUACUUUUUCGUGGGGGAUAACGUAGGGAAACUUACGCUAAUACCGCAUACGUCCUACGGGUGAUAGCAGGGGAUCUUCGGACCUUGCGCGAUUGAAUGAGCCGAUGUCGGAUUAGCUAGUUGGCGGGGUAAAGGCCCACCAAGGCGACGAUCCGUAGCUGGUCUGAGAGGAUGAUCAGCCACACUGGAACUGAGACACGGUCCAGACUCCUACGGGAGGCAGCAGUGGGGAAUAUUGGACAAUGGGCGCAAGCCUGAUCCAGCCAUACCGCGUGGGUGAAGAAGGCCUUCGGGUUGUAAAGCCCUUUUGUUGGGAAAGAAAAGCAGCAGGUUAAUACCCCGCUGUUCUGACGGUACCCAAAGAAUAAGCACCGGCUAACUUCGUG
RNAcentral lists this ribosomal RNA (492 nucleotides) under uncultured bacterium. Its description in RNAcentral is "partial 16S ribosomal RNA". It matches the Rfam family "Bacterial small subunit ribosomal RNA", at positions 29 to 507 of the family's 1533-position model. The record is from RNAcentral.